Molecule: non-coding RNA, 334 nt
Organism: Pelobates cultripes (western spadefoot toad)
Lineage: Eukaryota; Metazoa; Chordata; Amphibia; Anura; Pelobatidae
Source: the annotation of a GenBank genome assembly
CCCCUAUUUCCUCUAGUGGCUGUCUCAUUGACAGCCACUAGAGGCGCUUGCGUGCACGCCAGCGUCCAUAGGAAAGCAUUAUGAAUGCUUUCCUAUGUGACCGGCUGAAUGCGCGCGCAGCUUUUGCCGUGCGUGCGCAUUCAGCCGACGGGGAGGAGAAGAGGAGGAUCGGAGGAGGAGAGCUCUCCGCCCAGCGCUGGAAAAAGGUAAGUUUUAACCCUUUUCCCCCUUCCAGAGCCGGGCGGGAGGGGGACCCUGAGGGUGGGGGCACCCUAAGGGCACUAUAGUGCCAGGAAAACGAGUAUGUUUUCCUGGCACUAUAGUGGUCCUUUAA